GAUGAACGCUAGCGGCGUGCUUAACACAUGCCAGUCGAACGGUGAAGCAGAGCUUGCUCUGUGGAUCAGUGGCGAACGGGUGAGUAACACGUGAGCAACCUGCCCCUGACUCUGGGAUAAGCGCUGGAAACGGCGUCUAAUACUGGAUAUGAGCUGCGACCGCAUGGUCAGCAGUUGGAAAGAUUUUUCGGUCUGGGAUGGGCUCACGGCCUAUCAGCUUGUUGGUGAGGUAAUGGCUCACCAAGGCGUCGACGGGUAGCCGGCCUGAGAGGGUGACCGGCCACACUGGGACUGAGACACGGCCCAGACUCCUACGGGAGGCAGCAGUGGGGAAUAUUGCACAAUGGGCGAAAGCCUGAUGCAGCAACGCCGCGUGAGGGAUGACGGCCUUCAGGUUGUAAACCUCUUUUAGCAGGGAAGAAGCGAAAGUGACGGUACCUGCAGAAAAAGCGCCGGCUAACUACGUG
This 467-nucleotide ribosomal RNA is filed under the name uncultured bacterium. RNAcentral's name for it is "partial 16S ribosomal RNA". It matches the Rfam family "Bacterial small subunit ribosomal RNA", at positions 28 to 507 of the family's 1533-position model. The record is from RNAcentral.